This 506-nucleotide ribosomal RNA is filed under the name uncultured bacterium. RNAcentral describes it as "partial 16S ribosomal RNA". It matches the Rfam family "Bacterial small subunit ribosomal RNA", at positions 29 to 523 of the family's 1533-position model. The record is from RNAcentral.
AGUGAACGCUGGCGGUAGGCCUAACACAUGCAAGUCGAACGGCAGCACAGGAGAGCUUGCUCUCUGGGUGGCGAGUGGCGGACGGGUGAGGAAUACAUCGGAAUCUACUUUUUCGUGGGGGAUAACGUAGGGAAACUUACGCUAAUACCGCAUACGACCUACGGGUGAAAGCAGGGGAUCUUCGGACCUUGCGCGAUUGAAUGAGCAGAUGUCGGAUUAGCUAGUUGGCGGGGUUAAGGCCCACCAAGGCGACGAUCCGUAGCUGGUCUGAGAGGAUGCUCAGCCACACUGGAACUGAGACACGGUCCAGACUCCUACGGGAGGCAGCAGUGGGGAAUAUUGGACAAUGGGCGCAAGCCUGAUCCAGUCAUACCGCGUGGGUGAAGAAGGCCUUCGGGUUGUAAAGCCCUUUUGUUGGGAAAGAAAUCCAGCUGGUUAAUACCCGGUUGGGAUGACGGUACCCAAAGAAUAAGCACCGGCUAACUUCGUGCCAGCAGCCGCCGUAA